UGAGGAAUUUUGCGCAAUGGGCGAAAGCCUGACGCAGCGACGCCGCGUGGAGGAUGACGGCCUUCGGGUUGUAAACUCCUGUCAGGGGUGAAGAAACUUCGCAAGAAGCUGACGGUAACCCCAGAGGAAGCCCCGGCUAACUACGUGCCAGCAGCCGCGGUAAUACGUAGGGUGCAAGCGUUAUUCGGAAUUACUGGGCGUAAAGGGCGUGCAGGCGGGAGAGCAAGUCUGAUGUGAAAGCCCGGGGCUUAACCCCGGAAGGGCAUUGGAAACUGCUUUUCUUGAGUUCUGGAGAGGAAGGGAGAAUUCCCGGUGUAGAGGUGAAAUUCGUAGAGAUCGGGAGGAACAUCAGUGGCGAAGGCGCCCUUCUGGACAGCAACUGACGCUGAGACGCGAAAGCGUGGGGAGCAAACA
Molecule: ribosomal RNA, 414 nt
Filed under: uncultured prokaryote
Description: bacterial SSU rRNA
Rfam family: Bacterial small subunit ribosomal RNA
Source: RNAcentral